This 402-nucleotide unclassified non-coding RNA is filed under the name soil metagenome. Its description in RNAcentral is "partial contains 5.8S ribosomal RNA, internal transcribed spacer 2, and large subunit ribosomal RNA". The stretch from base 1 to 121 matches the Rfam family "5.8S ribosomal RNA", at positions 35 to 154 of the family's 154-position model. The record is from RNAcentral.
GAUGAAGAACGCAGCGAAAUGCGAUAAGUAAUGUGAAUUGCAGAAUUCAGUGAAUCAUCGAAUCUUUGAACGCACCUUGCGCCCCUUGGCUAUUCCGAGGGGCAUGCCUGUUUGAGUAUCAUGAACACCUCAACUCUCACGGUUUGCCGUGGUGAGCUUGGAUGUUGGGGGGUUUGCUGGCCUGGGGUCGGCUCCUCUCAAAUGAAUCAGCUUUCCAGUGUUUGGUGGCGCAACGGGUGUGAUAACUAUCUACGCUCGUGACCGUCUGCCAGGUAACCUUCUGCAAUGGGGGUUUGCUGGAGCUCACAAAUGUCUCUCCUCAGUGAAGACAGCCUUUUGAACGUUCGAUCUCAAAUCAGGUAGGACUACCCGCUGAACUUAAGCAUAUCAAUAAGCGGAGGA